UACGUAGGCAGCGAGCGUUGUUCGGAGUUACUGGGCGUAAAGAGUGCGUAGGCGGUUUUCUAAGUUUGGUGUGAAAUCUCCCGGCUCAACUGGGAGGGUGCGCCGAAGACUGGAAGGCUUGAGUAUGGGAGAGGUAAGCGGAAUUCCUGGUGUAGCGGUGAAAUGCGUAGAUAUCAGGAGGAACACCGGUGGCGAAGGCGGCAUUCUGGACCGAUAUUGACGCUGAGGAGCGAAAGCCAGGGGAGCAAACGGG
This 253-nucleotide ribosomal RNA is filed under the name uncultured bacterium. Its description in RNAcentral is "partial 16S ribosomal RNA". It matches the Rfam family "Bacterial small subunit ribosomal RNA", at positions 524 to 776 of the family's 1533-position model. The record is from RNAcentral.